RNAcentral lists this ribosomal RNA (468 nucleotides) under uncultured bacterium. RNAcentral's name for it is "partial 16S ribosomal RNA". It matches the Rfam family "Bacterial small subunit ribosomal RNA", at positions 28 to 507 of the family's 1533-position model. The record is from RNAcentral.
GACGAACGCUGGCGGCGUGCUUAACACAUGCAAGUCGAACGGAAAGGCCCUGCUUUUGUGGGGUGCUCGAGUGGCGAACGGGUGAGUAACACGUGAGUAACCUGCCCUUGACUUUGGGAUAACUUCAGGAAACUGGGGCUAAUACCGGAUAGGAGCUCCUGCUGCAUGGGGGGGGUUGGAAAGUUUCGGCGGAUGGGGAUGGACGCCCGGCUUAUCAGCUUGUGGGUGGGGUAGUGGCUUACCAAGGCUUUGACGGGUAGCCGGCCUGAGAGGGUGACCGGCCACAUUGGGACUGAGAUACGGACCAGACUCCUACGGGAGGCAGCAGUGGGGAAUAUUGCACAAUGGGCGGAAGCCUGUUGCAGCAACGCCGCGUGCGGGAUGACGGCCUUCGGGUUGUAAACCGCUUUCGCCUGUGACGAAGCGUGAGUGACGGUAAUGGGUAAAGAAGCACCGGCUAACUACGUG